Molecule: ribosomal RNA, 497 nt
Filed under: uncultured bacterium
Lineage: Bacteria
Description: partial 16S ribosomal RNA
Rfam family: Bacterial small subunit ribosomal RNA
Source: RNAcentral
GACGAACGCUGGCGGCGUGCCUAAUACAUGCAAGUUGAGCGAUGAAGAUUGGUGCUUGCACCAAUUUGGAGAGCAGCGCACGGGUGAGUAACGCGUGGGGAAUCUGCCUUUGAGCGGGGGACAACAUUUGGAAACGAAUGCUAAUACCGCAUAACAACUUUAAACAUAAGUUUUAAGUUUGAAAGAUGCAAUUGCAUCACUCAAAGAUGAUCCCGCGUUGUAUUAGCUAGUUGGUGAGGUAAAGGCUCACCAAGGCGAUGAUACAUAGCCGACCUGAGAGGGUGAUCGGCCACAUUGGGACUGAGACACGGCCCAAACUCCUACGGGAGGCAGCAGUAGGGAAUCUUCGGCAAUGGACGAAAGUCUGGCCGAGCAACGCCGCGUGAGUGAAGAAGGGUGUCGGAUCGUAAAACUCUGUUGGUAGAGAAGAACGUUGGUGAGAGUGGAAAGCUCAUCAAGUGACGGUAACUACCCAGAAAGGGACGGCUAACUACGUG